Molecule: ribosomal RNA, 449 nt
Filed under: uncultured bacterium
Lineage: Bacteria
Description: partial 16S ribosomal RNA
Rfam family: Bacterial small subunit ribosomal RNA
Source: RNAcentral
GCCAGACUCCUACGGGAGGCAGCAGUGGGGGAUAUUGCACAAUGGGGGGAACCCUGAUGCAGCGACGCCGCGUGGGUGAAGGAGCGUUUCGGCGCGUAAAGCCCUAUCGGCAGGGAAGAAGGAGGACGGUACCUGACUAAGAAGCCCCGGCUAACUACGUGCCAGCAGCCGCGGUAAUACGUAGGGGGCAAGCGUUAUCCGGAUUUACUGGGUGUAAAGGGGGCGCAGACGGCAGCGCAAGCCAGGAGUGAAAGCCCGGGGCCCAACCCCGGGACUGCUCUUGGAACUGCGCGGCUGGAGUGCAGGAGGGGCAGGCGGAAUUCCUGGUGUAGCGGUGAAAUGCGUAGAUAUCAGGAGGAACACCGGUGGCGAAGGCGGCCUGCUGGACUGCGACUGACGUUGAGGCCCGAAAGCGUGGGGAGCAAACAGGAUUAGAUACCCCCGUAAUG